UGGGGAAUAUUGGACAAUGGGCGCAAGCCUGAUCCAGCCAUACCGCGUGGGUGAAGAAGGCCUUCGGGUUGUAAAGCCCUUUUGUUGGGAAAGAAAAGCAUUCGGUUAAUACCCGAUUGUUCUGACGGUACCCAAAGAAUAAGCACCGGCUAACUUCGUGCCAGCAGCCGCGGUAAUACGAAGGGUGCAAGCGUUACUCGGAAUUACUGGGCGUAAAGCGUGCGUAGGUGGUUGUUUAAGUCUGUCGUGAAAGCCCUGGGCUCAACCUGGGAAUUGCGAUGGAAACUGGGCGACUAGAGUGUGGCAGAGGGUAGUGGAAUUCCUGGUGUAGCAGUGAAAUGCGUAGAGAUCAGGAGGAACAUCCGUGGCGAAGGCGACUGCCUGGGCCAACACUGACACUGAGGCACGAAAGCGUGGGGAGCAAACAGGAUUAGAUACCCUGGUAGUCCACGCCCUAAACGAUGCGAACUGGAUGUUGGGUGCAAUUUGGCACGCAGUAUCGAAGCUAACGCGUUAAGUUCGCCGCCUGGGGAGUACGGUCGCAAGACUGAAACUUAAAUGAAUUGACGGGGUCAUAGCUGUUUCCU
This 587-nucleotide ribosomal RNA is filed under the name uncultured bacterium. Its description in RNAcentral is "partial 16S ribosomal RNA". It matches the Rfam family "Bacterial small subunit ribosomal RNA", at positions 355 to 1375 of the family's 1533-position model. The record is from RNAcentral.